GGUGGGGGCUUUUUUUUUUCUUUAUAAGCACUAAUUAACUUUCAGAGAGAUGUCACUAGACAAACAGCACAGUUGAAAAAAGGGAUGUCAUAUGUUGAGACUGAACGCUCAUUACAAAGUUUCUGUCUCUGAUGAAAAAGAAUUUUUCAAAACCACUGUGUAUACUACACAGAGAUGUACUAAAUCCUUCCGCUGUUAGAGUAAUUGGAAGCUCAGGGGCAACAAUCUUGAGCAGAGUCCAUCCCAUCCCUCCCCACAUCAUUUUGUCUCAGUGGCCCUGUGGUGUCCAAAUGUGACUCAGCUCCCUGCUGACUUCACAAUCACUGUCAGGUGCUUCCUACACCACCCUUGCAAGGCCACUAUCACAGGUUCCCUGGGGCUUUUGCUGCCUGUGCCAGCAGAUGUCUCCUCCUGACAGAGUGGGGCAUUUCACGCCACUUCAAGUCUUUGCCUUGUGACACGGGCCAAAGAGUGUCUGAGCAUCUUUCCCUCUUCACUCAGCUGCGCUCAGCAGGAGGCAGAACUCUUGUGCCAUUCUUUUUUUUAAGCUGAUUGCAAUCCAACUUUCAAUUUCAAUGGAAACAGACAAUGUUGAGCAAUACAUCUUAGGGAAUGCUCACAAAAAGAUAGAUUUUUUAAAAAUAGCAGCAUACACAAGCUUCCACAUAAGAGUCCUAAAACAACUGUCUGAGCAGAUUCUCAGUUUUUUUAUUCCAAGCUGAAUUAAAAAAUACAUAUUAAUGUCUUCAGCUGAUGUUUAUUUUAAAUGAGUCUUGAAUGUUGGGAUAAUUCUGAGUAGUUGAAAAAAAAAUAUGUUUGUCUGUACCAACAUCUAAGAGGUCAAGUGCAGAACAAGCUAAAUAGAGGUUAAACAAAAUAUAAAGUGAUUUUUUAUGAGGUUCAGCUACUGGAAAAUUAAAUCACGAGGGUAUAAAUAAUGGAAGCCCAGAUGUUUUAUAUGAAAAAUUGUUAAAUAAACCACGCUUUCUUUAGCAAAGUCAAUCAAGUAGAUAUAUUUGAACUUGAGUAAGACACGGCAAGUACCACUUACAGGAUUUUCACUAAAAACUACAUCAUGCAACAGCAAAAGGCAUCAGUAGCUGCGCUGCAAAAUGUUUAAAAGCCAUCUCAAAGAAUAGCAAGCACUGGGGUAUUUUCAUUAUGAUAAAGUCUUUUAAGAGUUCUCAGCAUUAAUCAAUGUUUUCAACUGCAUCCUAAAAGUAAAAAUGUUAUAAUGGUAGAUAAAGUGAGAUAAGGAUUAACUACAUUGUUAAACAGUGAUAAGUAAAUCAUGCAGAAUGACCUGUAUCUUUCACACUGUGCCCAUUCAGUCAAAAUAUGUUUUCCAUGGACAAUCAGAAGCAUAAAAUCUAUGAAAUUUCUCUGAGGGCCAUAUCCAAAAAACAGGGAGGGGGAGUCAAAAGGAGGGCACUGUAUUCUGAAAAGCAGUGACAGGAAAGGUCAGUAACUCUGAAAGUCAGACUGGUUGAACAAUUUAACAUGAGCUCCCAGCAGCAUGCCGUAGCAGAGACCCCAGAAAAAUAUAUAAUAAUAUUAAUAAUAAUCUAGUAUUUGUACAACAAUGAAAAAAGUGAGGGAAAUCCAGUUUGAAGACAGCGGAUGAUGUUUGGCUAUUUAAAUUUAUUAAAAGGGUGUUGAAAAUCACUCAAGCUGACUGACAACUGAAGAGUAAGAUUGAGAAGUAAAGAAGCUGGUUCAGCAACAGACUAAAGAGGCUGAAUAGUGUGGCAAAAAGAGACUGACUUUUAUAAAUGUCUUCACAUGGAGGCAAUACUAAAUACCAGACAGCUUUUAAUCAGACUAAACAAGAAGGAUGACUACACUGAUUUUAGCUGAUUUGACUGAUUCAACUGGGGAAGAGCAAUGUGUUUGCAAAUGCAGAGGCACAGAGCUGCUGUUUUCCAGGGAAGUAGUACAUGCUCCAUUUCUUGAAGUUUUCUCACCAAAACCAAUAUGGCAACAAGUCACUUCAGAUCAACUUACUGAAAACCUGUCUCGUCUAAAUUCACAUGAGGUGCACAUUGCCCUCACACUGCCCCUCAAGGGCAGUUACAGACCCAGAGAAGUGAUCCUGCCAUGAGCUGGAGUUACCUCUUGGGAGAUAAGAACUCAGCUCUCACCUCUAUCAAACAGGAUUUGUAUGGCACCUAGCUAGUAAAGCUUCAUUUUACCCAGUUUUAUGUAUCUAAAAGCUAAAUGUCUAUUUAGCAUGUACAUGUCUGAACCAUUUUCACCCUUAGCAACUCCAACAGCCAGCAGAGAGAAGCAGGCACAGUUGGAGAGCUGUUCUCUGACAGUUCUCAAAACAAUCACUACCCAAUGAGGAAAUCAUGCUCUGAAGAAAUCUCUGAGCUGAUUAAAGAAAUGCAGGCAGGUGACUGGCUUGUACUUGGACAAUAGCAUUCUAGACAUAUAAAUAAGGGAAGGCAUGCCUUAGCCUCCCUGAAGAGGAUAUUAAUAUUUAUAAGCUGCUGUGAAAAUAAUACCUUAGAGACAAUAUUAUUAGGAGCUAUAUGAAUAGCUAUGAUAAAUGACAUCAAAAAAUCACAGUGUUUAAAUUUUUGCAAAGCUCUAGGAUAAAAAGAAAAUUUAAUCUUGAGAUACUAAGAAAAUAUUCAGAGAGUGGGCCAGGUUUCUGAAUGCCACAAAGAAGUACUGAAUAUAUUGACUCCAUGUACUCCUUCCUUGGUGGCAAAGACAGCUUAAAAGACCUCCCUCUGAAUCAAAGUGGGGAUUUUUUUGGUUUGUAUUCCAUUUUAAAUGGUAAUUUUUCACCACUCUUGCUUGCAGUAUGGCAACAAAGUUGUGCCAGCAGAGUUGGAUGGGGCACUGCAUAGCUCUGAAAUGGCAGAGGACAGUACAGUCAACUCAAGUAAGAAAGAUGAUCCAUGUGGUGAUCCCCUUAUGACAUGGAAGAAUGGUGUGACCAAAAAGUAGAGUCUCUCUUAUCUACACAAACUCUGGAGGGCAACAGUUCAAGUGACCACCCUGAACAGCCGUUGUAAAAGCAUACAACAGUGGGUUUCCUGUCUGCUUUUAGGAGCAGAUCCUUUCACACAGAUGUAUCCUUACUUAAUUUUCUUUGGAUUUUGUUCCAGCAGUCAGAUGGGGAGGAAAUGUUGCACUUCCUUUAUAGUAAACCUUCAUCAGUACUCUGAGUGGUCCAUUCUGCAGUCUUUCCUUAUA
This is a long non-coding RNA of Oxyura jamaicensis (ruddy duck), 3207 nucleotides long. RefSeq lists it as uncharacterized. The record is from RefSeq and is a predicted model, not a curated record. NCBI's taxonomy places the organism in Eukaryota, Metazoa, Chordata, Aves, Anseriformes, Anatidae. The transcript has 2 exons.